RNAcentral lists this transfer RNA (76 nucleotides) under Siphoviridae sp. ctE6L85. RNAcentral describes it as "tRNA-Thr". It matches the Rfam family "tRNA". Rfam says of the family: Transfer RNA (tRNA) molecules are approximately 80 nucleotides in length. Their secondary structure includes four short double-helical elements and three loops (D, anti-codon, and T loops). The record is from RNAcentral. Lineage: Duplodnaviria; Heunggongvirae; Uroviricota; Caudoviricetes.
GCUGGAAUAGCUCAACUGGUAGAGCAACGCUCUCGUACAGCGUAGGUUCUCGGUUCAACUCCGAGUUCCAGCUCCA